RNAcentral lists this ribosomal RNA (442 nucleotides) under Klebsiella pneumoniae. RNAcentral's name for it is "partial 23S ribosomal RNA". It matches the Rfam family "Bacterial large subunit ribosomal RNA", at positions 421 to 867 of the family's 2925-position model. The record is from RNAcentral. Lineage: Bacteria; Pseudomonadati; Pseudomonadota; Gammaproteobacteria; Enterobacterales; Enterobacteriaceae.
GACACGUGGUAUCCUGUCUGAAUAUGGGGGGACCAUCCUCCAAGGCUAAAUACUCCUGACUGACCGAUAGUGAACCAGUACCGUGAGGGAAAGGCGAAAAGAACCCCGGCGAGGGGAGUGAAAAAGAACCUGAAACCGUGUACGUACAAGCAGUGGGAGCACCUUCGGGUGUGACUGCGUACCUUUUGUAUAAUGGGUCAGCGACUUAUAUUCUGUAGCAAGGUUAACCGUAUAGGGGAGCCGCAGGGAAACCGAGUCUUAACUGGGCGUUAAGUUGCAGGGUAUAGACCCGAAACCCGGUGAUCUAGCCAUGGGCAGGUUGAAGGUUGGGUAACACUAACUGGAGGACCGAACCGACUAAUGUUGAAAAAUUAGCGGAUGACUUGUGGCUGGGGGUGAAAGGCCAAUCAAACCGGGAGAUAGCUGGUUCUCCCCGAAAGCU